CCUACGGGUGGCAGCAGUGAGGAAUAUUGGUCAAUGGACGGAAGGCUGAACCAGCCAUGCCGCGUGAAGGUCAGUGCCCUAUGGGCGUUAAACUUCUUUUGUGCGGGAGCAAUAAUGGUCACGUGUGGCCAGACGAGAGUACCGUACGAAUAAGCAUAGGCUAAGUCCGUGCCAGCAGUCGCGGAAAUAAGGGGGAUGCAAGCGUUAUCCGGAUUUAUGGGGUUUAAAGGGUGAGUAGGCUGUGAGGUAAGUCAGCGGUGAAAUGCCCCCGCUCAACGGGGUGAAGUGCCAUUGAUACUGCCUUGCUGGAAUGCGGAUGCCGUGGGAGGAAUGUGUGGUGUAGCGGUGACAUGCAUAGAUAUCACACAGAACACCGAUUGCGAAGGCAUCUCACGAAUCCGCGAUUGACGCUGAUGCACGAAAGCGUGGGUAUCAAACAGGAUUAGAUACCCCUGUAGUC
Molecule: ribosomal RNA, 460 nt
Filed under: uncultured bacterium
Lineage: Bacteria
Description: partial 16S ribosomal RNA
Rfam family: Bacterial small subunit ribosomal RNA
Source: RNAcentral